UACGGAGGGUGCGAGCGUUGUCCGGAAUCAUUGGGCGUAAAGGGCGCGUAGGUGGCGGGACAAGCGUGCGGUGAAAGCUCGGGGACUCACCCCGCGUCGGCCGUGCGAACUGUUUUGCUUGAGCACUGUAGAGGCAGGCGGAAUUCCGGGUGUAGCGGUGGAAUGCGUAGAGAUCCGGAAGAACACCGGUGGCGAGGCGGCCUGCUGGGCAGUAGCUGACACUGAGGCGCGACAGC
Molecule: ribosomal RNA, 236 nt
Filed under: uncultured bacterium
Lineage: Bacteria
Description: partial 16S ribosomal RNA
Rfam family: Bacterial small subunit ribosomal RNA
Source: RNAcentral